RNAcentral lists this long non-coding RNA (1312 nucleotides) under Nicotiana tabacum (common tobacco). Its description in RNAcentral is "long non-coding RNA (NTAB_LNC014217)". Lineage: Eukaryota; Viridiplantae; Streptophyta; Magnoliopsida; Solanales; Solanaceae. The record is from RNAcentral.
UUCUAACAAAAAAGAAUUGUUUUUCCUUUUAAAUUUAACUUUACAGUAGAAAAAAAAAACGGCUAUAAGACUUUUAUACCUUUUUCACUAUUCAUAAUCUUUAUGGGAAACUUCUUAUGACCUUCCUAUUUCAUGUCAUAAAAUAGUAGUCCAACUUUUUCACUGAUGUAGUGAGAAAUUAAAGAGUGAAACAAAGAAGAACGCCUGCAAAAGGAGCAGUGGUGAAAAGGAGGGAAAAAAAGUAAAGUUGAAAAGAGAAAACAAAAGGCAAAAAAUUACUAAAAGGGAAGCAAAAGUAAAGAAAAUGAUGCUCAAAUCUCGCUACCCAGAUGUUUACACGCAGAAAACUCAACAAAAUUGGUGCUUAGAUCAAUUAAAGAGUGAUAAAAAGUUAAAACUUCACCUUUUUCACCAUAGUUAAUAGGUGGUAAAAACUGAAAGCAAGUUGUGGGGUUGGAGCUGCAUUUGGUCAAGGAUCAAGGAGCAAAAGAGGUGGCACCGUCGCCGGCGCCGGCGGAGGAAGCUAUCCCAAAAUCUUCUCUGAUCUCCAUUCACUCCUAUCAUAUCGCCGGACUUCACCUUCUCCGAUGGAAAAUACAACAAUUUCUCAGAGGUUAAGAGGUGAGCAAGAGAAAGGGCAAGGGUAUAAGUGUUUUGGUUAAAUUUUGUUAACGUGGCUAUCACUGGUACUAACCAGAUUAAUUAAUUUUUAAUAGUAUUCCGUUAGUGAAUAAAGGCAUUUGUCUGCCCCUUUAAGGACGAAUGAUCUCAAUAUUAACAGAUGACAAAAGUGGAGAAUUUUUUUAUUUUUUAUUUUAUUUUAUUUUUUUUUAUAUAUGUGAUGUUCCGCCGGCUUGCACGUAGCUAAAUUAUUUAUAGACAAAUUUGGAUAUUUUCAAUGUGAUUUUUAAAUUCUUCAAAAAAAAUUAAUAAAAUACGUACUUAUAAACUACUAAUAUAAAAGGUACGUCUUACUAUUUUACAUUUAAAUUUGCUUAUGUGAUGGAGGGGCAUAUAUGUUUUGAUUAGUAUUUAGUAGGUUAGCAAACUACUUAUUGAGAUUUAUCGAAAGCUUGAGUUAUGAUAAUAUCUAAUAAUUUCUUGUAUUUUGUGAGUGAAGUUUCAAAUUCCCAAUCUAAUUUUAACUGUCUGUUAAAUUUUCAGGGCUCAGCAAACGUGAUAUGCAUCAGCGCUCUUUAUUAUCUUAUAAUUAAUAAAUAUAUAAUAAUUAUAUAUCAUAAAUUAUUUUAAUAUGGAUUCAGGUUGAUCUAAAUUUAAUAUUCAUUUUCCACCAACACAUGGUGGAUCAACU